This 63-nucleotide transfer RNA is filed under the name Lasioderma redtenbacheri. Its description in RNAcentral is "tRNA-Pro". The record is from RNAcentral. Lineage: Eukaryota; Metazoa; Arthropoda; Insecta; Coleoptera; Ptinidae.
CAGAGAAUAGUUUAAAUAAAAUUUUAAUUUUGGGAAUUAAAGAUAGAAAAUUUCUUUCUCUGA